GACGAACGCUGGCGGCGUGCUUAACACAUGCAAGUCGAACGGAAAGGCCUCUUUCGGGGGGUACUCGAGUGGCGAACGGGUGAGUAACACGUGAGUAACCUGCCCUUGACUUUGGGAUAACUUCAGGAAACUGGGGCUAAUACCGUAUAGGAGCUCCUGCUGCAUGGUGGGGGUUGGAAAGUUUCGGCGGUUGGGGAUGGACUCGCGGCUUAUCAGCUUGUUGGUGGGGUAGUGGCUUACCAAGGCUUUGACGGGUAGCCGGCCUGAGAGGGUGACCGGCCACAUUGGGACUGAGAUACGGCCCAGACUCCUACGGGAGGCAGCAGUGGGGAAUAUUGCACAAUGGGUGGAAGCCUGAUGCAGCAACGCCGUGUGCGGGAUGACGGCCUUCGGGUUGUAAACCGCUUUCGCUCAUGACGAAGCUUUGUGUGACGGUAGUGGGUAAAGAAGCACCGGCUAACUACGUG
RNAcentral lists this ribosomal RNA (467 nucleotides) under uncultured bacterium. RNAcentral describes it as "partial 16S ribosomal RNA". It matches the Rfam family "Bacterial small subunit ribosomal RNA", at positions 28 to 507 of the family's 1533-position model. The record is from RNAcentral.